GGUGAGAUGGCCGAGUGGUCUAAGGCGCUGUGUUUAGGUCUGUUCCGGUUCACCCGGGACAACUUUGUACCGCAGUCAUUCGUGGCGUGGGUUCGAAUCCCACUCUCAUCA
Pestalotiopsis sp. NC0098 is the source of this 111-nucleotide non-coding RNA. Lineage: Eukaryota; Fungi; Ascomycota; Sordariomycetes; Amphisphaeriales; Sporocadaceae. The record is from the annotation of a GenBank genome assembly.